This 26-nucleotide non-coding RNA is filed under the name Homo sapiens (human). Lineage: Eukaryota; Metazoa; Chordata; Mammalia; Primates; Hominidae. The record is from RNAcentral.
UUACCAGCAGAACUAGGAAACAUGGU